Molecule: ribosomal RNA, 830 nt
Filed under: Calocera cornea
Lineage: Eukaryota; Fungi; Basidiomycota; Dacrymycetes; Dacrymycetales; Dacrymycetaceae
Description: eukaryotic LSU rRNA
Rfam family: Eukaryotic large subunit ribosomal RNA
Source: RNAcentral
AGGAUUCCCCUAGUAACUGCGAGUGAAGCGGGAAAAGCUCAAAUUUAAAAUCCGUCCUCAGACGGAGUUGUAAUCUAGAGAAGUGUUUUCGGCCGCGGACCUGGCUAAGUCCCUUGGAACAGGGCGUCGUAGAGGGUGACAAUCCCGUACUUAUCAGGCACCCCGCGUCUAUGUGAUACACUCUCGAAGAGUCGAGUUGUUUGGGAAUGCAGCUCAAAAUGGGUGGUAAAUUCCAUCUAAAGCUAAAUAUUGGCGAGAGACCGAUAGCGAACAAGUACCGUGAGGGAAAGAUGAAAAGCACUUUGGAAAGAGAGUUAAACAGUACGUGAAAUUGCUAAAAGGGAAGCGCUUGAAGUCAGUCGCGUUUAUGAGACUCAGCCUCACGGUGUAUUUCUCUUGAACGGGCCAACAUCGAUUUUGGGCGCGGGAAAAGGGUUUGGGGAAUGUGGCAACCUCGGUUGUGUUAUAGCCUCUUACCGUACACCGCGCCCGGGAUCGAGGACCGCGGCUUUGCCUAGGAUGUUGGCGUAAUGGCUUUAAGCGACCCGUCUUGAAACACGGACCAAGGAGUCUAACAUGUCUGCGAGUGUUUGGGUGUCAAACCCAUGCGCGUAAUGAAAGUAAAUGUAGGUGGGAGGCCUCGGCCGCACCAUCGACCGAUCCGGAUCUCUUGUGAUGGAUUUGAGUAAGAGCAUAUAUGUUGGGACCCGAAAGAUGGUGAACUAUGCCUGAAUAGGGCGAAGCCAGAGGAAACUCUGGUGGAGGCUCGUAGCGAUUCUGACGUGCAAAUCGAUCGUCAAAUUUGGGUAUAGGGGCGAAAGACUAAUCGA